Molecule: microRNA, 23 nt
Filed under: Eisenia fetida (common brandling worm)
Lineage: Eukaryota; Metazoa; Annelida; Clitellata; Crassiclitellata; Lumbricidae
Description: Efe-Mir-2691-P2_5p* (star (passenger))
Source: RNAcentral
UGACGGUGACGGUCUGCAAACCC